AUACGGAGGGUGCAAGCGUUAUUCGGAUUUAUUGGGCGUAAAGGGCGCGUAGGCGGUCUUGUAAGUCUGAUGUGAAAGCCCACGACUCAAUCGUGGAAGUGCAUUGGAUACUGCUAGACUAGAGUACUAGAGGGGAGAACGGAAUUCCUGGUGUAGAGGUGAAAUUCGUAGAUAUCAGGAGGAACAACUGUGGCGAAGGCGGUUCUCUGGACAGUAACUGACGCUGAGGCGCGAAAGCGUGGGUAGCAAACAGGAUUAGAAACCCCGGUAGUCC
This 274-nucleotide ribosomal RNA is filed under the name uncultured bacterium. Its description in RNAcentral is "partial 16S ribosomal RNA". It matches the Rfam family "Bacterial small subunit ribosomal RNA", at positions 523 to 796 of the family's 1533-position model. The record is from RNAcentral.